GCCUUCAUGGUGUAGCGGUUAGCACACUCGACGCGUAUUCGAGAGGUCGGGGGUUCGAAUCCCGGCGAAGGCA
Stegodyphus mimosarum is the source of this 73-nucleotide non-coding RNA. The record is from Rfam. NCBI's taxonomy places the organism in Eukaryota, Metazoa, Arthropoda, Arachnida, Araneae, Eresidae.